RNAcentral lists this ribosomal RNA (510 nucleotides) under uncultured bacterium. Its description in RNAcentral is "partial 16S ribosomal RNA". It matches the Rfam family "Bacterial small subunit ribosomal RNA", at positions 28 to 507 of the family's 1533-position model. The record is from RNAcentral.
GACGAACGCUGGCGGCGUGCUUAACACAUGCAAGUCGAACGAAGAGCGACGGAAGCUUGCUUCUAUCAAUCUUAGUGGCGAACGGGUGAGUAACGCGUAAUCAACCUGCCCUUCAGAGGGGGACAACAGUUGGAAACGACUGCUAAUACCGCAUACGAUCUAAUCUCGGCAUCGAGGAUGGAUGAAAGGUGGCCUCUACAUGUAAGCUAUCACUGAAGGAGGGGAUUGCGUCUGAUUAGCUAGUUGGAGGGGUAACGGCCCACCAAGGCGAUGAUCAGUAGCCGGUCUGAGAGGAUGCACGGCCACAUUGGGACUGAGACACGGCCCAGACUCCUACGGGAGGCAGCAGUGGGGAAUCUUCCGCAAUGGACGAAAGUCUGACGAAGCAACGCCGCGUGAGUGAUGACGGCCUUCGGGUUGUAAAGGUCUGUUAAUCGGGACGAAAGGCCUUCUUGCGAAUAGUGAGAAGGAUUGACGGUACCGGAAUAGAAAGCCACGGCUAACUACGUG